Non-coding RNA from Camelus ferus (Wild Bactrian camel), 73 nucleotides. The record is from Rfam. Lineage: Eukaryota; Metazoa; Chordata; Mammalia; Artiodactyla; Camelidae.
GGAGGGGACAGCUCAGUGGUAGAGCGCACGCUUAGCAUGCACGAGGCCAUGGGUUCAAUCCCCAGUGCCUCCA